ACGAACGCUGGCGGCGUGCUUCACACCUGCAAGUCGCACGGAAAGGCCCUGCUUUUGUGGGGUGCUCGAGUGGCGAACGGGUGAGUAACACGUGAGUAACCUGCCCUUGACUUUGGGAUAACUUCAGGAAACUGGGGCUAAUACCGGAUAGGAGCUCCUGCUGCAUGGUGGGGGUUGGAAAGUUUCGGCGGUUGGGGAUGGACUCACGGCUUAUCAGCUUGUUGGUGGGGUAGUGGCUUACCAAGGCUUUGACGGGUAGCCGGCCUGAGAGGGUGACCGGCCACAUUGGGACUGAGAUACGGCCCAGACUCCUACGGGAGGCAGCAGUGGGGAAUAUUGCACAAUGGGCGGAAGCCUGAUGCAGCAACGCCGCGUGCGGGGUGACGGCCUUCGGGUUGUAAACCGCUUUCGCCUGUGACGAAGCGUGAGUGACGGUAAUGGGUAAAGAAGCACCGGCUAACUACGUG
RNAcentral lists this ribosomal RNA (467 nucleotides) under uncultured bacterium. RNAcentral's name for it is "partial 16S ribosomal RNA". It matches the Rfam family "Bacterial small subunit ribosomal RNA", at positions 29 to 507 of the family's 1533-position model. The record is from RNAcentral.